CCAAGUUUUACAAUCAGCUCAACGGAAGUUUAGGUCUGACCUUCCUUAUUUUCGAUAGCCUGUGCCCAGGGUUGUAGAAGGGAUUUCAGUGCAUGGAUAAAAAAUCUGUCUCAUUUUUGGCGAAGUCCAAAAGAUUCUGGCGAAGAAACUUUUUGUCAAUAGCGUUCCCAACAGCUGUUGCAGUGAGCAUUGCUUUGGAUAUCAAAAGGACUCAAGAUUUCAAGAAAAAGAAAGCAAUAGCGCCUGUGAAUCCUCUCUGAAAAAGACAUGGCUCUCCGCAAGAUCCGCCCCCAGCACUAUCGGAUUCUGGCCAGCAUGACAAUCCCGGUCUUCUUUGGACUGUUUGGCAUGUACCAACAACAUCUUCAUGACCAGGACUUCACGUCAUACAGAAACAAGAGCAAAAUGUUUGGUGGAAAGACCUUGCCUGCAGGAGAACAAGCAUGGCACUGAUUUAGCUACCAUUUUUCAUGCAAUCUGUUGUACAAAAUGUUUCUAUAGCCACCUUAAGUCAGUGAAGUAAUUGCUGCUGUUAGAAUUAAAACUGCAAGGCAGGUUUUAUUAUGAUGGUAGGCAGUUUGCCUUUAAUUCUUAUUUGUCAACAGUUACAAGAAUCUGAAAGGUUGCGUAAGAAAAUGGUGAUCUCUUCUCCUUGACUCUUUGUUUUAUCAUGCAGAUAAGAUGUGAUGAUGGUUUGAUUCAGUAUAGAGUUAUGAUCAGUUUGGAUCGAGAUAUGGGUGUUAACACUGUAUGAUGAAGGCAUUGAUAAUACAUUAUAUUGCUGUCAAA
Long non-coding RNA from Aplysia californica (California sea hare), 789 nucleotides. RefSeq lists it as uncharacterized. The record is from RefSeq and is a predicted model, not a curated record. Lineage: Eukaryota; Metazoa; Mollusca; Gastropoda; Aplysiida; Aplysiidae. The transcript is spliced from 3 exons.